GACGAACGCUGGCGGCGCGCUUAACACAUGCAAGUCGAACGGAAAGGCCUGCUUUCCCUUGUGGAUUGCGGGUACUCGAGUGGCGAACGGGUGAGUAACACGUGAGUGAUCUGCCCCCAACUUGGGUAUAAGCCUGGGAAGCUGGGUCUAAUUCCCGAUAGGACUGCAGGGUGGUGCCUGUGGUGGAAAACGAUUUUCUAGUGGUUGGGGAUGAGCUCGUGGCCUAUCAGCUUGUUGGUGGGGUAAUGGCCUACCAAGGCGGCGACGGGUAGCCGGCCUGGGAGGCUGGACGGCCACAUGGGGGCUGGGGUACGGCCCAGAGUGCUACGGGAGGCAGCAGUGGGGAAUAUUGCACAAUGGGCGGAAGCCUGAUGCAGCGACGCCGCGUGGGGGAUGACGGCCUUCGGGUUGUAAACUCCUUUCGACCGCGAGGAAGCCACCUGGUUGGAAGGGUGGUGACGGUAGUGGUAGAAGAAGCACCGGCUAACUACGUG
RNAcentral lists this ribosomal RNA (494 nucleotides) under uncultured bacterium. RNAcentral's name for it is "partial 16S ribosomal RNA". It matches the Rfam family "Bacterial small subunit ribosomal RNA", at positions 28 to 507 of the family's 1533-position model. The record is from RNAcentral.